UCGUUAUUUGGUCUCAACGAUCAAUUAAUAGUUUCUCCUCUAUUUCUCCUUUGUAGACUUGGCACACAUUCUAACGGAUGUGUGCAUUUUU
This 91-nucleotide non-coding RNA is filed under the name Neisseria weaveri. Its description in RNAcentral is "Neisseria metabolic switch regulator b (RcoF1/NgncR163)". It matches the Rfam family "Neisseria metabolic switch regulator b (RcoF1/NgncR163)". Rfam says of the family: Sibling sRNA described and independently named in three publications. NgncR163 is N. gonorrhoeae while the others are N. meningitidis RNAs. Lineage: Bacteria; Pseudomonadati; Pseudomonadota; Betaproteobacteria; Neisseriales; Neisseriaceae. The record is from Rfam by way of RNAcentral.